RNAcentral lists this long non-coding RNA (1361 nucleotides) under Homo sapiens (human). Its description in RNAcentral is "GSK3B divergent transcript". The record is from RNAcentral. Lineage: Eukaryota; Metazoa; Chordata; Mammalia; Primates; Hominidae.
AGGCGCUGGAGUUGGGGCAAAAGGGAGAGGGAGGGAGCCCGAAACUCGCGGCGGCGGCCAAUCGGCUCUCACUGCCGUCCAAUCGCAAGACCUAGCUGCAGUGUGAUUGGCCUUCGGCCCCGGUCCCAGGAGCGGGGAGAUGCCUGACUCGGGUCGUGGCUGACGACCCGACGGUUCGCCUGCGGCCGCCUCCAACAACGGUGGAAACCGCACACAGGGACCGCGGGCCCUCGGUGCAGCAAAUCGGAAAGUGCUGCGGUCGGCGGCCCUGGGCUCUGAGCGCUCAAGCGAGCAGAGGGGUGGAGGGGCUCUCCCCACCCACAGGAGGCUCUCGGCGGGGCGCAGCCAAUUCUGCGCGCCCAAGGCUCCCCUCUGCCGUGGAUCGCGUGUGCCGAGUGUUGGCCUCUUCCCCGAAAGGGCCAGACGGACCAAGGGGGCCUUCCCAGCCGGCUGCAAGCUCUCAGACGCUAAAAUGGGAACAAAGCUUCCAGAAAGGCAGCGCCUUUGGGCGGCCGCGCCCCGCCCAGCCGCGGGGGCCAUUGAUACAGAGGCUUGCUGCGCUUGGUGUGCGCGGCCCGGCCGGGCCUCUGGAAACGCCCAUGAGAAAUGAGCUCAUGCUGGAUGCGCGCGCUCCUUGGGCGCAACUGCCCAGCGCAAAACGGGCCCCGAAAGCAGGUGAGUGGAGGACACUUCAAUCUAAAGUGAUCUUAAAGGAGGAGUAGUAGGAUUUGAAGAUGAAGAAAGAAGAGGGGAGGUUAAAAAAUGGAGGCAACAGCUGGGUACAGUGGCUCACUCCUGUAAUUCCAGCACUUUAGGAGGCCAAGGUAGGCAGAUCACUUGAGAAAAAGAGUUCGAGACCAGCCUGGGCAACAUAGUGAGACCCUCUCUCUCAAAAAAAAUAGCCAAGUGUGAUGAUGGACACCUGUAACCCCAACUACUUCAGAGACUGAGGCAGGAGGAUCACUUGAGCCUAGGAGGUCAAGGCUGCAGUGAGCUGUGAUUGGGCCACUGCACUCCAGCCUGGGUGACACAGAGAGACCUCUCUAAAAAAUAAAAAAAUAAAAAAAAUGGAAGCACAGAAAACUAUACCUUUUCUAGCUCAACUUUACCACAUUGAUGAAAAAGUAUUGAGCAGCCACAGGUACAUGACAUUCCACUAUGUUCUUGGGAUAAUAUUAAAGAAAAGGCAUGAAGGUAUGCUCUGAGCAGGCAAGAGAAGUCACAUAAAAUGAGAGUAAUUUAUAAUGUGAUUUUUUCCCAUGGUCCUUCUUUUUCUCAUUUAACUGUUUACUCCUUUAUAUGUUAUAGCAAUUGUUGUUUAAUAAUUGCAUUAAAAUAAAUAGAUGCCUUGGACACUGAUA